CAUGUUUCUGUAGAACUCAAUUAGGUAUAUACGGAUAUCUAAUCUAAACCGUGGAUGUUAUUGAUGCAUGGUCACAACUAAAGAAACGUAAACUAAAGAAACCUAAAUAGAAAUUUUCGAAAUUUGUUUUACCCGCUAAAUACUGUAAGCGCUGUAACAAGUAUUAGGUUGUCCGGAAGGUGUCUUUCUUUCGCAAACGUGUUAUUUACAACAUUGCAGCUUCAUACAAACGUGAAACCAAGUUUGUGAAAUGUCGCGGUGUUUAUCUCAACAGAACAAAAUGGAUCGUACGUAAUUCGACAAAAUAAUACAAAACAAAAAACCUUGUGCGUCUAUUAUUUCCUCAUAAAACGAAAGAAACUUUUCGGAUAACCUAAUAUUUGAGAUGUUUCUUACGUUACGCUCAUUAUGUACAUUUAUUUACACUUGCGGCCAUAAAGUUUUCAUAUCUUUGGCUAACUUCUGUCCAGCUGGACUAAGUAUAUUUAGUGCUAUAUCAUGUACGCUAGCAUGAUGUUAAAUUGGGACAGUAUAUUUAACAGUCAUUGGUGAUAUUCGUUCAAUUAGACUGAGACUAAGUGAUUCGAACUAAAGUUAGUAUACGUGCUUUUCUGCGCGAUUCUCACUUGUCACGAGUUUUUAUUGGCCUUUAUUUAGUUCAACGUAACGAAUCGGACCACAUAACUCGAAAGAACGACAGAAUGUAAACAAGUAAGAUGAAGCAACGUAUUAACAGAUAUUAUUGACGGCGAAAACAAAUUACAUUGUACCACAACGAACAAGAAAACGUCAGAUCGAUUUAAGAUGACUUCAACGAUGUCUGACGAAAAGACACAGGCGACUUGCGUCUGGAAACCUUCUCCGGGCGUAUUUCUUUAAUUAGAAACAUUACGAAAGUCGAGUCGUAUGGAUGCGUUGUUUAGUUAACGAUAAAUUACGUUCGUCAGGUGAAUAAUGAUUUAUGACAGUAUGCCAUAGUGUUUGUUUACUUUCCGCUUCUUGUUUGAUCGUGACGAAUAUUUGGCUACGAUAAACAUUUGCUUAACAAUUCUAUAAUGUGCAUAAUAUUAUGGUAUUCCACGAGUAUCGGAAUAAAUAUAAAUAAACGAAUAUAAUACAGCUGCGAUCGCCAUUGUAAUCUUAUAUUUCGUGUUUUAUCGAAUGUUUUAGCCAGUAAUAUUUCGUGACAUUCUACGUUCUUCUGCAAGCAAUUUCUAUUUGAAAUCAAGAAUGAAUAAUAAUCACUUAAAUAUCGUAUAAAAGUGAAAAUACAAAAUUAUAGACAUGAAUCGAGUUGUAUUUUCUCGUUUACGUAACGAAAUAUUUGUCAAAUGUUCCAGCGUAAAAAUACAAAAAGAACUCUAUCGUUUCGAACUAUUUGAACUGUGGAUGUUCAUACAUUUGUAAAUAUGUAAUAUAAAGAUACAAGAAUACAUACAUACAUUCUACAUAUAUAACGUAUAGAGAUAUGUGUGAAAAAGAAUUUGAAUAUGUAGAUGAAAUCUUUAUUCCAUGUUUUUAGUUGAAUGUAUCCAUGAAAAUAUGAAUUUGCAUAACCAUGUCCGUAGGCUGUUAAUUAAAUACAAAAAUGUUAAUCGAUAUACGUCUCGAACUUGCUAAUAUGUGUAUAUUUACAACCUAUAAAUACACGUAAGACAUGUUUUA
Long non-coding RNA from Bombus terrestris (buff-tailed bumblebee), 1665 nucleotides. RefSeq lists it as uncharacterized. The transcript is spliced from 2 exons. The record is from RefSeq and is a predicted model, not a curated record. Lineage: Eukaryota; Metazoa; Arthropoda; Insecta; Hymenoptera; Apidae.